This 616-nucleotide long non-coding RNA is filed under the name Lepisosteus oculatus (spotted gar). RNAcentral describes it as "lncRNA (ENSLOCG00000022179.1)". The record is from RNAcentral. Lineage: Eukaryota; Metazoa; Chordata; Actinopteri; Semionotiformes; Lepisosteidae.
ACAGCUUUUUUUGUGCCUUUUGCCUACUAGAAGUUGUGUAUCUUAUGUUAAAGACUGGCGGAAAAAGAGGACUGAAGAUAACAAUUGAUGUAAAGCUCCAGAACUGGCCUGUGCACCUAGACCUGUCUGUCUCCACUGCGAUCACCAUCGGAGGGCUGCCCGUCACCCCGCUGCCAGCUGCCAGCUGAGUCUCGAUCCGUCCAUGAAGACGAGGCUGUGCCACCAAGGUCGCAGCUGGCAUGAGUGCAAUCGGCACCACUGGGAAUCUGCAUCAUGGAAUUUUUUGAGAAUCCUGGAUGUACAGUACUGUUGGUCAACAGUGACAAAUAUCAUGUUAUUGUAACCUUGUUGCCAAGGAAACAUUGCUCCAGGGUAGGGUUUCCUUCUACAUGAGCUUUCUUCCUAGGUAGUGCUGAUUGUUUUACAUCUCUUGUAAAACACUUUGAGAUGUCUUGACAUUAAAUGCACUAUAAUUAUAUUUGCAGAUAGAUUAUUUGGUUGCUAAGACCGGGUUGUUAGAGUUGCUAUCUCAAGGUGAUUGUAGAGGUCUUGAACAUGCCUCACCAUUGACAUUGUGACAUUUUAACAUUUCAAAAUUGCUAGUAGUGCUUCUGUG